RNAcentral lists this long non-coding RNA (3146 nucleotides) under Phocoena sinus (vaquita). RNAcentral describes it as "lncRNA (ENSPSNG00000020153.1)". Lineage: Eukaryota; Metazoa; Chordata; Mammalia; Artiodactyla; Phocoenidae. The record is from RNAcentral.
GGUCGUGCCAGGUGGCUUGCAGGAUCUUAGUUCUCCGACCAGAGAUUGAACCUGGGCCCUGGGCAGUGUAAGUUUGAAGUCCUAACCACUGAACCACCAGGGAAUUCCCUUUUUUUUUCUUUAAUAAAUUUAUUUAUUUAUUUUUGGCUGUGCUGGGUCUUUGUUGCUGCACGCAGCAAAAAAUAAACAAACAAACAAAUGAAUAAAAAAUAAAACAGGAUGGCACCAGAGACACAAGAACUAAAACCUUAAAAUCCAGCUAAAGGUAAACCUCACUGUGGCUCCUUAAACUUGCCCUCCACCCUCCUACCUCAGGUAUUUGCAGUGCGGUGCCUUCUGCCUAAACUGCCCUCCCCUCUUUGCCCCUCUAACCUGUGAACACGUUGUCCCUCUCUUUGUGGGUCUAGGGCUAUCACAGCCUCCAAAACUCCAUGCAAACGUUCCUUCUCUAAGAUGAACGCUCAGGUUUCUCUCGCCUACACGCACACGCACGCAUGCCCGGCCCUUACCCGAGGGUCAGCCCACCUGGCGUAUAGUCCCCAGCUGGCGCAGGUUUCCACUGAUUGUUAACAAGCCCGUGUUCUUACCUCCUAUGAGUUCCCUGAUGGCAGGAGAAAAUGUGUUAAUUUGCAGAAAGUCCUUCUGCUGACCGUCUCUUCUCUAGGAAACUCUUUUACUUUCCCCAUCAAAUACCCUGGAAGUUUUAUUUUAUUUUUCCAACUUACUUAUUUUGAGAUUACUGCUUGAGUUACUUUAAUAGUUUCAUAGAGGUUAAGCUGAAGAUGACCUUAAAGAUGGUAGUAAUAAUAACAAUGACAGCAGCUGCCAUUUGCUAAAGCUUGCUCUGGGCCAGGCUGUGUUUUAAGAAGGAAUGGUAUACACUAUCUACUAAAUACCAACUAUAGCACUAAAAAGGUGGGCUCUGUUGUCAUCUCCAUUUUAGAAAUGAGGGAACUCGGGCCCAGAGAAGUUAAACAACUUGCCCAUGGUCACACAGCUUGUGAGUAGUGGAGGUGGCACCUCGCUCCAUGAGGCAGAGUAGGCGCAGGGCCUAGGGCCACAACACUUUUAGGGGCCACGGAAAUGUUUUAAUUUCCUUCAGGAUAAGAAGGAAAAAAAAUAAAAAUUUAGGUUGAAGACAAAGUUUUAGUAUAUAAUAUUAACAUAACUGUCUUUAUACCAGUGUUGUUGUAAAAUAUAAUUUUUACUAUUUUCUUAUGGAAGAAGGGAUUCGUGAAGGCAAAAGUGCACUAGGACCCACAAAAGUCAUAAUGUGGCCCUGGUGGAGUCAGAAGUCAAAUCAAGUCAGUAUGCCCCCAAAGUUAAUGUUUUCACUAGUCUAGUGUAACCCCAUAUUACAGGUGAGGAAAUUGAGAUCCAAGGCCACACAACAAAUGCAUGGCAGAGCCAAGCCGAAAAUGCAGGUUUCCAGUGGUCCAACCAUGGUACCCUGUGGUCCAACACCACCACCUAGUGGUCUUACCGGGAACUUCGCUUUAGUCAAAGGAUGAACCUAGAGAGAGGGCACAGGUCCAGAUACCCCCAGGAAGCAGCUACCCGCCUGCCCUUGGACUCCAUACUCAGCAGUGGGGAAGCCAGGCCAAGGCACCAACUCCACAUGCUCUGUUUAGGUUGUCAUCAGAAUUCACACAUCCCCCCUACACACACACACACACACACACAAAGGCACCCCUCUCCCAGGGCAACAGAGCUAUCCCUCCGAGUUAAUACUUGUAAAACACCUAGAUUGGCCCUGUGCGAUAGGAAUAGCAUGUGAGCCAAUGUGUAAUUUGAAAUUUUCUAGUAGCCACAUUAAAAAAGCAAAACGAGGGAAUUUCCUGGCAGUCCAGUGGUUAGGACUUGGCGGUUUCACUGCCGUGGCCCAUGUUCAGCAAGCCAUGCGGCACGGCCAAAAAAAUAAUUAAUUAAUUAAAAAGCAACAAGUAAAACUAAUUUUAAUAAUGUAUUUUAUUUAACAUAGGGGGUCAGCACACUACAGGCAAUGGGUCAUGUCUAGCCCACGACCUGUGGUUUUUUUUUUGUUUUUUUUUGCGGUACGCGGGCCUCUCACCGCUGUGGCCUCUCACGCCGCAGAGCACAGGCUCCGGACGCGCAGGCCCAGCGGCCAUGGCUCACGGGCCCAGCCGCUCCGCGGCACGUGGCAUCCUCCUGGACCGGGGCACGAACCCGUGUCCCCUGCAUCGACAGGCGGACUCCCAACCACUGUGCCACCAGGGAAGCCCCCACCACCUGUUUUUUUAAAUGAAGUUUUAUUGGAACAUAUCCACACCCAUUUGUUUAUGUACCAGCCAUGGCUGCUUUUACACUGCAACAGCAGAGUUGAGUAUUUGCUUAUUUGAGACUGGAUGGCCCACAAAGCUGAAAAUACCCACUACCUAGUCCUUUACAGAGAAAUUUUGUCGAUUCUUGAUUUAACCCAAUAUAUCCAAGUUUGGUCAUUUCAACAUGUGAUUCAAUAUAAAAAUUAUUAAUGAGCUAUUUUACAUUUUUUAUUAUACUAAAUUUCUGAAACCCGGUGUGUCUUUUAUACUUACAGCACAUCUCUAUUUGGAUGAGACACAUUUCAAAUGCUCAGUGGAUACAUGUAGCUCAUGGCUAUGGAACUGGACAGUGUGGGUUUAGAAUAAGGCCCUGCAUGUAGCAAAUAUCAUAGAGGUGCUCACUAAAUACGUAAAUAAAUAAAUUCCCCAGAAGUAUUAAGCCCUAACCACCUGGAACAUCCACUGCUUGUUAUGAAUCAACCCUUUUCCCAUGCUUCUAGAAUGGUGCUAGCAAUGUGCCAUCAUCCUUGAGAGAACUGAAAACAUCAUCACCCAAAUCAUGUUCCAAAAGACUUAAUUUGUUUGCAAAAUCCCAGCUGUGAAAAGCUGCCCUGGUAGCAGCCUGUCCUCUUCUAAGCAGCUUUGCAGCCUUGCUGCCGAUAGAGAUAAUCAUAAUAACAGCUAAUAUAAUUCACAUAUAUAGAGCCAGCCAUUUGCUAGGCAUUUUCUGAGCAUCGUUUCAUUUAAUGACAGAAAUAAUGGUGAUUCCCUCAGGAGGCCUACCCUGACACCCCAUGCUGGCUUAGGCGUCCCCUCUGCGCUCCAAAGGUGCCCGUCUUCCCCCAUCACAGCCCUUCUCACUCU